AGAGUUUGAUCAUGGCUCAGAACGAACGCUGGCGGCGUGCUUAACACAUGCAAGUCGAGUGCGCGCCUGUAGCAAUACAGGUGGCGCACGGCGCACGGGUGCGUAACACGUGGGCAAUCUGCCCUCUGAUGGGGAAUAACCCGCCGAAAGGCGGGCUAAUACCGCAUAAAAUUCCUUGGACUCAUGUUCGAGGACUCAAAGGCGUAAGUCGUCGGAGGAGGAGCCCGUGCACGAUUAGCUAGUUGGUAGGGUAAUGGCCUACCAAGGCUUUGAUCGUUAGCUGGUCUGAGAGGAUGGCCAGCCACACUGGAACUGAGACACGGUCCAGACUCCUACGGGAGGCAGCAGUGGGGAAUCUUGCACAAUGGGCGAAAGCCUGAUGCAGCGACGCCGCGUGGGGGAUGAAGCAUUUCGGUGUGUAAACCCCUUUCGAUCCGGACGAAUACCUCGUAAGAGGGGUGACGGUACGGAUAUAAGAAGCCCCGGCUAACUACGUGCCAGCAGCCGCGGUAAGACGUAGGGGGCCAGCGUUGUUCGGAAUUACUGGGUGUAAAGGGUUCGUAGGCGGUGUGGCAAGUUGGGAGUGAAAUCUCUGGGCUCAACCCAGAGGCUGCUUCCAAAACUGCUGUGCUUGAGUGUGAGAGAGGCUCGUGGAAUUGCAGGUGUAGCGGUGAAAUGCGUAGAUAUCUGCAGGAACACCCGUGGCGAAAGCGGCGAGCUGGAUCACUACUGACGCUGAGGAACGAAAGCUAGGGGAGCAAACAGGAUUAGAUACCCUAGUAGUCC
This 786-nucleotide ribosomal RNA is filed under the name uncultured bacterium. RNAcentral's name for it is "bacterial SSU rRNA". It matches the Rfam family "Bacterial small subunit ribosomal RNA", at positions 8 to 796 of the family's 1533-position model. The record is from RNAcentral.